GCGAAAGUGGCGGAAUUGGUAGACGCGCUGGAUUUAGGUUCCUGUGCCGCAAGGCGUGAGAGUUCGAGUCUCUCCUUUCGCA
Molecule: transfer RNA, 82 nt
Rfam family: tRNA
About the family: Transfer RNA (tRNA) molecules are approximately 80 nucleotides in length.
Source: Rfam